AAAGAGGGGGAGGAAUUGGGUCCUGCCAAAUCUGGGAGGGUGUGAGCGGCGACGGGGCGUUGGCCCUUGGAAGCGGCCGGAGAAUCUUCUGGGGAGGACCUGCCCAUGGUCAAGUUCUUUCUGGGCCAAGAAAAUGAAAGAGUGUUUAGACUGCCGGUAGGUGGUGAACAGAGAGGCCGGCUUUAAAGGGCCUGGACGGUGUAAGCAUGGCCUGGGGAUGGGCCCCAGAGAGAAUGCAGCUCUCCUAAGCCAGCAUUUGCUGAGACCCUAAGAGGAGAAAAUUCUAGAUUCUUAAGAAAGUUCCAGUGAAGCUCCACUCAUCCAGGAAAAGAAGUCUGGGCCGUUUCAGACUUCCAUCUACAAUUUCUGAGAAGAUUUUUCAGGAAAAAGAAAAUGUGUUCACGGAACGGACUCCAAAAACCUUGCAAAUGUGCCCAGGAUGUUAUUCCUUCGGUAGGGAAGAGCUCUGGGCGGUGCAUGUUUGAGUGGGCCUCCUACUAACUGCGCUUGGUGCUUGAUCGCGAGUCUUACCGCUGGGUGACACAGGACAAGCCCAUGCCCAGGGCU
Molecule: long non-coding RNA, 567 nt
Filed under: Felis catus (domestic cat)
Lineage: Eukaryota; Metazoa; Chordata; Mammalia; Carnivora; Felidae
Description: lncRNA (ENSFCAG00000047402.1)
Source: RNAcentral